This 703-nucleotide ribosomal RNA is filed under the name Lysinibacillus sphaericus. Its description in RNAcentral is "bacterial SSU rRNA". It matches the Rfam family "Bacterial small subunit ribosomal RNA", at positions 8 to 690 of the family's 1533-position model. The record is from RNAcentral. Lineage: Bacteria; Bacillati; Bacillota; Bacilli; Caryophanales; Bacillaceae.
AGAGUUUGAUCAUGGCUCAGGACGAACGCUGGCGGCGUGCCUAAUACAUGCAAGUCGAGCGAACAGAGAAGGAGCUUGCUCCUUUGACGUUAGCGGCGGACGGGUGAGUAACACGUGGGCAACCUACCCUAUAGUUUGGGAUAACUCCGGGAAACCGGGGCUAAUACCGAAUAAUCUAUUGUCCCUCAUGGGACAAUACUGAAAGACGGUCUUGGCUGUCGCUAUAGGAUGGGCCCGCGGCGCAUUAGCUAGUUGGUGAGGUAACGGCUCACCAAGGCAACGAUGCGUAGCCGACCUGAGAGGGUGAUCGGCCACAUUGGGACUGAGACACGGCCCAGACUCCUACGGGAGGCAGCAGUAGGGAAUCUUCCACAAUGGGCGAAAGCCUGAUGGAGCAACGCCGCGUGAGUGAAGAAGGAUUUCGGUUCGUAAAACUCUGUUGUUAGGGAAGAACAAGUACAGUAGUAACUGGCUGUACCUUGACGGUACCUUAUUAAAAGGGCACGGCAAACUACGUGCCAGCAGCCGCGGUAAUACGUAGUGGCAAACGUUGUCCGGAAUUAUUGGGCGUUAAGCGCGCGCCCGUGGUUUCUUUAAGUCUGAUGUUGAAAACCCACGGCUCAACCGUGGAGGGUCAUUUGGAAACUGGGAAACUUAAUUGCAGAAGAGGAUAGUGGAAUUCCAAGUGUAGCGGUGAAAUGCG